GACGCUGCGGCAUGCCUAAUACAUGCAAGUCGAACGAGACCUUCGGGUCUAGUGGCGCACGGGUGCGUAACGCGUGGGAAUCUGCCCUUGGGUUCGGAAUAACAUCGGGAAACUGAUGCUAAUACCGGAUGAUGACGUAAGUCCAAAGAUUUAUCGCCCAGGGAUGAGCCCGCGUAGGAUUAGCUAGUUGGUGAGGUAAAGGCUCACCAAGGCGACGAUCCUUAGCUGGUCUGAGAGGAUGAUCAGCCACACUGGGACUGAGACACGGCCCAGACUCCUACGGGAGGCAGCAGUAGGGAAUAUUGGACAAUGGGGGCAACCCUGAUCCAGCAAUGCCGCGUGAGUGAUGAAGGCCUUAGGGUUGUAAAGCUCUUUUACCCGGGAUGAUAAUGACAGUACCGGGAGAAUAAGCCCCGGCUAACUCCGUGCCAGCAGCCGCGGUAAUACGGAGGGGGCUAGCGUUGUUCGGAAUUCUGGCGUAAGCCACGUAGCGGCNAUUAAGUNNAGGUGAAAGNCCGGGGCUNACCCGAACUGCUUUGGACUGAUUGUUGACAUCGANAGNGAGUGAAUCCAGUGUAAGGNG
RNAcentral lists this ribosomal RNA (583 nucleotides) under Sphingomonas sp. HS311. RNAcentral describes it as "bacterial SSU rRNA". It matches the Rfam family "Bacterial small subunit ribosomal RNA", at positions 32 to 680 of the family's 1533-position model. Lineage: Bacteria; Pseudomonadati; Pseudomonadota; Alphaproteobacteria; Sphingomonadales; Sphingomonadaceae. The record is from RNAcentral.